This 523-nucleotide ribosomal RNA is filed under the name uncultured bacterium. Its description in RNAcentral is "bacterial SSU rRNA". It matches the Rfam family "Bacterial small subunit ribosomal RNA", at positions 356 to 896 of the family's 1533-position model. The record is from RNAcentral.
GGGGAAUAUUGGACAAUGGACCAAGAGUCUGAUCCAGCAAUUCUGUGUGCACGAUGAAGUUUUUCGGAAUGUAAAGUGCUUUCAGUUGGGAAGAAAAAAAUGACGGUACCAACAGAAGAAGUGACGGCUAAAUACGUGCCAGCAGCCGCGGUAAUACGUAUGUCACGAGCGUUAUCCGGAUUUAUUGGGCGUAAAGCGCGUCUAGGUGGUUAUGUAAGUCUGAUGUGAAAAUGCAGGGCUCAACUCUGUAUUGCGUUGGAAACUGUAUAACUAGAGUACUGGAGAGGUAAGCGGAACUACAAGUGUAGAGGUGAAAUUCGUAGAUAUUUGUAGGAAUGCCGAUGGGGAAGCCAGCUUACUGGACAGAUACUGACGCUGAAGCGCGAAAGCGUGGGUAGCAAACAGGAUUAGAUACCCUGGUAGUCCACGCCGUAAACGAUGAUUACUAGGUGUUGGGGGUCGAACCUCAGCGCCCAAGCAAACGCGAUAAGUAAUCCGCCUGGGGAGUACGUACGCAAGUAUG